GAUGAAGAACGCAGCGAAAUGCGAUAAGUAAUGUGAAUUGCAGAAUUCAGUGAAUCAUCGAAUCUUUGAACGCACCUUGCGCCCUUUGGCUAUUCCGAAGGGCAUGCCUGUUUGAGUAUCAUGAACACCUUAACUCUCAUGGUUUGCCAUGAUGAGCUUGGACUUUGGGGGUCUUGCUGGCCUAUGGUCAGCUCCUCUAAAAUGAAUCAGCUUGCCAGUGUUUGGUGGCAUCACAGGUGUGAUAACUAUCUACGCUUGUGGUUUUCCACUAGGUAACCUUCAGCAAUGGAGGUUCACCGGAGCUCACAAAUGUCUCUCCUUGCCAAGGACAGAUUUUGACCAUUUGAUCUCAAAUCAGGUAGGACUACCCGCUGAACUUAAGCAUAUCAAUAAGCGGAGGA
RNAcentral lists this unclassified non-coding RNA (401 nucleotides) under soil metagenome. RNAcentral describes it as "partial contains 5.8S ribosomal RNA, internal transcribed spacer 2, and large subunit ribosomal RNA". The stretch from base 1 to 121 matches the Rfam family "5.8S ribosomal RNA", at positions 35 to 154 of the family's 154-position model. The record is from RNAcentral.